GGGAGAGUGGCCGAGCGGUUAUGGCGCGUGACUCAAGUUUUACGACUUGGACUGUUAACCAGUCUUGAGGGUUCUCGUAGGGAAACCUGCAUGGGUUCGAAUCCCAUCUCUCUCA
Molecule: transfer RNA, 115 nt
Filed under: Capronia epimyces CBS 606.96
Lineage: Eukaryota; Fungi; Ascomycota; Eurotiomycetes; Chaetothyriales; Herpotrichiellaceae
Rfam family: tRNA
About the family: Transfer RNA (tRNA) molecules are approximately 80 nucleotides in length. Their secondary structure includes four short double-helical elements and three loops (D, anti-codon, and T loops).
Source: Rfam by way of RNAcentral